This is a long non-coding RNA of Lutra lutra (Eurasian river otter), 1256 nucleotides long. RefSeq lists it as uncharacterized. NCBI's taxonomy places the organism in Eukaryota, Metazoa, Chordata, Mammalia, Carnivora, Mustelidae. The record is from RefSeq and is a predicted model, not a curated record. The transcript is spliced from 3 exons.
UUGGUUUUGAUUCAAAAGCGUAAUUCGUAUGUGACAUCUGUUUCAGCAACUUCUGGAAAAUGGGUCCCUGAGCAAACCUCAUGUAAUUAAACUGGAUACUCAACCUUAGAUUAUGUCCAAGGCAAAUUAUCCAGUCACCCAGAUGAGUGCAGGACUUGGGGGAAUUAAAGGGAACCAGCAUGGCUGGAAGAUGCUACAGUGAAACCUUCCCUCUCCUGUGCUUCCGGGUCUGUCUUGUGAUCCUUCUGUGUCCACAGAGAAGCUGGGCUUCCACGUCUUCCCCUAGGUAACUAGGUCAAGAGGAAUUUUUAAAACAUGGGGGAAAAUCAGGGCAAUUAUGCUCACAUUACAGAUGCACUUGACCCUGGCUUACUCCCUUAGGUCAGGAACGCACCUGUACCUUUGACCAAGGGUGAUAGGAAUCCAGUUCGCUCCAUUAUCACUGGAUCUGAACACACAGGAGAAAGGACAGUGAACUAUACCUAAAGAAGACUCACAGGUCUUUUUUUGUCAGAUAAAUCAUACUUACGACCCGAGAGCUUCUGUUGCUCUUUAUGAUUCACUGGUCAACCAUGAAAGAACAAAACAAAUGCUGAAAUUUCAGACAACAGUGCAUUGGUGAUUCUUUCCAGGAGACUGUGGUCUCUCAAAGAAUCAGAGGUAAGGGAUGGUAGCUUCUGCAGAGAUUCUGUAGCCCAGCUCCUUCCUCUUUACAGAUGAGAAAAUUCGACUCAGAAAGGAAACACAACAACGUAUGAAAUCAUGAGAAUUCUUUGAUUUAAAUAAACCAACACUACAAACCCAUCUUCAUCUUCUGAAAUCCUUCUUUGGUAGGAAGUCAUGCCAAUUCUACCAGCAUUUGCCCGGGUACAGACUGCAGAAGUGGCCCUAUGCGAUGCUCAUCGACCUUGCAGGUAAAAUUAUUCCGGGAUUGAAGAAUUUGGGGUGAAAUUAGAUUUAAAGAGAUUUCUUUGUUACAGGGUUUCUCAAGUUCUUGAAUUGUGCCAACAUGCUUUAUGAAUCUUCCAAGUUAGAAGGCAGAUGGUUUGGAUUUACUAACUCCUGUAACUCUUUUUAUGAACAGCUGGGAGACUGGUGUGGUCUGAGAAACACACUUUGGGAAAUACUGAAUCAGACAUUUUUAAUGGAGGCUCUUUCUGUUAGAACGAGUUCACCAUUGAAUACCUGAAUUGAAAGACCUUCAAUUCUAUGAGACUUUCUGGACUGGUGGUUCUUGAUCCUGGCUGCCCAUUAAA